RNAcentral lists this ribosomal RNA (253 nucleotides) under uncultured bacterium. RNAcentral's name for it is "partial 16S ribosomal RNA". It matches the Rfam family "Bacterial small subunit ribosomal RNA", at positions 524 to 776 of the family's 1533-position model. The record is from RNAcentral.
UACGAAGGGGGCUAGCGUUGCUCGGAAUUACUGGGCGUAAAGCGCACGUAGGCGGUCUUUUAAGUCGGGGGUGAAAUCCUGGAGCUCAACUCCAGAACUGCCUUCGAUACUGGAAGACUCGAGUCCGGGAGAGGUGAGUGGAACUGCGAGUGUAGAGGUGAAAUUCGUAGAUAUUCGCAAGAACACCAGUGGCGAAGGCGACACGCUGGGCCGUACCUGACACUGAUGCGCGACAGCAUGGGGAGCAAACAGG